CCUACGGGAGGCAGCAGUGGGGAAUAUUGGACAAUGGGCGAAAGCCUGAUCCAGCCAUGCCGCGUGUGUGAAGAAGGCCUUUUGGUUGUAAAGCACUUUAAGCGAGGAGGAGGAGCUUCAGGUUAAUACCCUGGAUGCUUGGACGUUACUCGCAGAAUAAGCACCGGCUAACUCUGUGCCAGCAGCCGCGGUAAUACAGAGGGUGCAAGCGUUAAUCGGAUUUACUGGGCGUAAAGCGUGCGUAGGCGGCUAAUUAAGUCAAAUGUGAAAUCCCCGAGCUUAACUUGGGAAUUGCAUUCGAUACUGGUUAGCUAGAGUAUGGGAGAGGAUGGUAGAAUUCCAGGUGUAGCGGUGAAAUGCGUAGAGAUCUGGAGGAAUACCGAUGGCGAAGGCAGCCAUCUGGCCUAAUACUGACGCUGAGGUACGAAAGCAUGGGGAGCAAACAGGAUUAGAUACCCUGGUAGUCC
This 467-nucleotide ribosomal RNA is filed under the name uncultured Acinetobacter sp. RNAcentral's name for it is "bacterial SSU rRNA". It matches the Rfam family "Bacterial small subunit ribosomal RNA", at positions 338 to 796 of the family's 1533-position model. Lineage: Bacteria; Pseudomonadati; Pseudomonadota; Gammaproteobacteria; Moraxellales; Moraxellaceae. The record is from RNAcentral.